Molecule: ribosomal RNA, 489 nt
Filed under: uncultured bacterium
Lineage: Bacteria
Description: partial 16S ribosomal RNA
Rfam family: Bacterial small subunit ribosomal RNA
Source: RNAcentral
AUUGAACGCUGGCGGCAGGCCUAACACAUGCAAGUCGAACGGUAACAGGAAGCAGCUUGCUGCUUUGCUGACGAGUGGCGGACGGGUGAGUAAUGUCUGGGAAACUGCCUGAUGGAGGGGGAUAACUACUGGAAACGGUAGCUAAUACCGCAUAACGUCGCAAGACCAAAGAGGGGGACCUUCGGGCCUCUUGCCAUCGGAUGUGCCCAGAUGGGAUUAGCUAGUAGGUGGGGUAACGGCUCACCUAGGCGACGAUCCCUAGCUGGUCUGAGAGGAUGACCAGCCACACUGGAACUGAGACACGGUCCAGACUCCGACGGGAGGCAGCAGUGGGGAAUAUUGCACAAUGGGCGAAAGCCUGAUGCAGCCAUGCCGCGUGUAUGAAGAAGGCCUUCGGGUUGUAAAGUACUUUCAGCGGGGAGGAAGGGAGUAAAGUUAAUACCUUUGCUCAUUGACGUUACCCGCAGAAGAGACACCGGCGAACUCCGU